RNAcentral lists this ribosomal RNA (1204 nucleotides) under uncultured bacterium. RNAcentral describes it as "bacterial SSU rRNA". It matches the Rfam family "Bacterial small subunit ribosomal RNA", at positions 28 to 1229 of the family's 1533-position model. The record is from RNAcentral.
AUUGAACGCUGGCGGCAGGCUUAACACAUGCAAGUCGAACGAUGAAGAUAUAGCUUGCUAUAUCGGAUUAGUGGCGGACGGGUGAGUAACACUUAGGAAUCUACCUUUUAGCGGGGGAUAGCUCGGGGAAACUCGAAUUAAUACCGCAUAAUUUCUACGGAAUAAAGAGGGCUUUUAGCUCUCACUAGAAGAUGAGCCUAAGUAAGAUUAGCUAGUUGGUGGGGUAAAAGCCUACCAAGGCGACGAUCUUUAGCUGGUCUGAGAGGAUGAUCAGCCACACUGGGACUGAGACACGGCCCAGACUCCUACGGGAGGCAGCAGUGGGGAAUAUUGGACAAUGGGGGCAACCCUGAUCCAGCCAUGCCGCGUGUGUGAAGAAGGCCUUUUGGUUGUAAAGCACUUUAAGCAGUGAAGAAGACCUAUUGGUUAAUACCCAAUAGCGAUGACAUUAACUGCAGAAUAAGCACCGGCUAACUCUGUGCCAGCAGCCGCGGUAAUACAGAGGGUGCAAGCGUUAAUCGGAAUUACUGGGCGUAAAGCGAGCGUAGGUGGUUAAAUAAGUCAGAUGUGAAAGCCCCGGGCUCAACCUAGGAACGGCAUCUGAAACUAUUUAACUAGAGUAGGUGAGAGGGAAGUAGAAUUUCAGGUGUAGCGGUGAAACGCGUAGAGAUCUGAAGGAAUACCGAUGGCGAAGGCAGCUUCCUGGCAUCAUACUGACACUGAGGCUCGAAAGCGUGGGUAGCAAACAGGAUUAGAUACCCUGGUAGUCCACGCCGUAAACGAUGUCUACUAGCCGUUGGGGAACUUGAUUCCUUAGUGGCGCAGCUAACGCAAUAAGUAGACCGCCUGGGGAGUACGGCCGCAAGGUUAAAACUCAAAUGAAUUGACGGGGGCCCGCACAAGCGGUGGGAGCAUGUGGUUUGAUUCGAUGCAACGCGAAGAACCUUACCUGGUCUUGACAUACACAGAAUCUAGCAGAGAUGCAAGAGUGCCUUCGGGAAUUGUGAUACAGGUGCUGCAUGGCUGUCGUCAGCUCGUGUCGUGAGAUGUUGGGUUAAGUCCCGCAACGAGCGCAACCCUUAUCCUUAGUUGCCAGCACGUAAUGGUGGGGACUCUAAGGAGACUGCCAGUGACAAACUGGAGGAAGGCGGGGACGACGUCAAGUCAUCAUGGCCCUUACGACCAGGGCUACACACGUGCUACA